AUUGAACGCUGGCGGCAUGCCUUACACAUGCAAGUCGAACGGCAGCACGGGUGCUUGCACCUGGUGGCGAGUGGCGAACGGGUGAGUAAUACAUCGGAACGUACCUUAUCGUGGGGGAUAACGCAGCGAAAGCCGUGCUAAUACCGCAUACGCCCUGAGGGGGAAAGCGGGGGAUCGAAAGACCUCGCGCGAUUAGAGCGGCCGAUGCCUGAUUAGCUUGUUGGUGGGGUAAAAGCCCACCAAGGCGACGAUCAGUAGCUGGUCUGAGAGGACGAUCAGCCACACUGGGACUGAGACACGGCCCAGACUCCUACGGGAGGCAGCAGUGGGGAAUUUUGGACAAUGGGGGCAACCCUGAUCCAGCAAUGCCGCGUGAGUGAAGAAGGCCUUCGGGUUGUAAAGCUCUUUUGUCAGGGAAGAAACACCGGCUCUAACACAGUCCGGGGAUGACGGUACCUGAAGAAUAAGCACCGGCUAACUACGUGCCAGCCGCCGCGGUAA
This 501-nucleotide ribosomal RNA is filed under the name uncultured bacterium. RNAcentral describes it as "partial 16S ribosomal RNA". It matches the Rfam family "Bacterial small subunit ribosomal RNA", at positions 29 to 523 of the family's 1533-position model. The record is from RNAcentral.